AACCUGCGGAAGGAUCAUUAACGAGUUUUGAAAGGGGUUGUAGCUGGCCUUCCGAGGCAUGUGCACGCCCUGCUCAUUCCACUCUACACCUGUGCACUUACUGUGGGUCUCAGGCGAGCGUCGGUCGCUUCGCGGCGUCGUCGUUCAACUGGGCUCACGUUUUACUACAAACUAUUAAAGUAUCAGAAUGUCUACUGCGAAUUAACGCAUUUAAAUACAACUUUCAGCAACGGAUCUCUUGGCUCUCGCAUCGAUGAAGAACGCAGCGAAAUGCGAUAAGUAAUGUGAAUUGCAGAAUUCAGUGAAUCAUCGAAUCUUUGAACGCACCUUGCGCUCCUUGGUAUUCCGAGGAGCAUGCCUGUUUGAGUGUCAUGAAAUUCUCAACCUAACGAGUCUUUGCGGGCUCGGUAGGCUUGGACUUGGAGGUUCUUGUCGGCCUAACGGUCGGCUCCUCUUAAAUGCAUUAGCUCGGUUCCUUGCGGAUCGGCUCACGGUGUGAUAAUUGUCUACGCCGCGACCGUUGAAGCGUUUUGGCCGGCUUCUAAUCGUCUCGUUGGAGACACUACUCUUUAUGACCUUCUGACCUCAAAUCAGGUAGGACUACCCGCUGAACUUAAGCAUAUCAA
Molecule: ribosomal RNA, 626 nt
Rfam family: 5.8S ribosomal RNA (bases 219-372)